CACCGACCCGACAUGAGCAGACAGCUCCCCCCCCCUCCUCUCUGCAGUGUGAUAUUCCUUCAUGUGUGAGGAGGGGGCAGAGCCAGAGGAGCCGAGGCAGCAGCAGGAGAUAUGGAGACUCUGCACCUUCUGACCUCCGGUGUCACUGUGCCUCCAGUAUAAAGUUCAGUCCCUCACUGGUCCUCCUACACAGCAGCAAUGGGGGACGCGGAACAGACAGACGCA
Long non-coding RNA from Bufo bufo (common toad), 225 nucleotides. RefSeq lists it as uncharacterized. NCBI's taxonomy places the organism in Eukaryota, Metazoa, Chordata, Amphibia, Anura, Bufonidae. The record is from RefSeq and is a predicted model, not a curated record. The transcript has 4 exons.